RNAcentral lists this ribosomal RNA (497 nucleotides) under uncultured bacterium. RNAcentral's name for it is "partial 16S ribosomal RNA". It matches the Rfam family "Bacterial small subunit ribosomal RNA", at positions 28 to 507 of the family's 1533-position model. The record is from RNAcentral.
GAUGAACGCUGGCGGCGUGCCUAAUACAUGCAAGUCGAGCGAACAGACGAGGAGCUUGCUCCUCUGACGUUAGCGGCGGACGGGUGAGUAACACAUGGAUAACCUACCUAUAAGACUGGGAUAACUUCGGGAAACCGGAGCUAAUACCGGAUAAUAUGUUGAAUCGCAAGGUUCAACAGUGAAAGACGGUCUUGCUGUCACUUAUAGAUGGAUCCGCGCCGCAUUAGCUAGUUGGUAAGGUAACGGCUUACCAAGGCAACGAUGCGUAGCCGACCUGAGAGGGUGAUCGGCCACACUGGAACUGAGACACGGUCCAGACUCCUACGGGAGGCAGCAGUAGGGAAUCUUCCGCAAUGGGCGAAAGCCUGACGGAGCAACGCCGCGUGAGUGAAGAAGGUCUUCGGAUCGUAAAACUCUGUUAUUAGGGAAGAACAAAUGUGUAAGUAACUAUGCACGUCUUGACGGUACCUAAUCAGAAAGCCACGGCUAACUACGUG